This 576-nucleotide ribosomal RNA is filed under the name Bursaphelenchus xylophilus (pine wood nematode). RNAcentral's name for it is "eukaryotic LSU rRNA". The stretch from base 369 to 576 matches the Rfam family "Eukaryotic large subunit ribosomal RNA", at positions 665 to 849 of the family's 3401-position model. Lineage: Eukaryota; Metazoa; Nematoda; Chromadorea; Rhabditida; Aphelenchoididae. The record is from RNAcentral.
CUAGUGCGUAUUCAGCCUUCUGGGCGCGUGAUUGGUGUUUGUGCAUUGCCGCAAGGUGUGCCUGGCGCUAUUGUCGCGUGUUCGGUUGGUGCAUUUGCGUACGGAGUGCGCCGGGUUGUGUGGUGUUGUCGGACGAUGCGCGUUUAGAGGACCCGGGCUUCGGCGCUGGGAACCCUGGGCGUGUGGAGUUCGGUUGGCGCUGCGCAGCUUUGUGGAGACGUGGGUUUUUCGCGUGCCGCGGUGUCGACAGGCUCGGUUCGGGUGGUACACAUGUGUGCAGCCCUUAUGGGGUCGGUCGGUGUUGUGGUGUGCUCUGCGUUCUUCCCGGUGUUCAGUCGGUGACCCAUUCGACCCGUCUUGAAACACGGACCAAGGAGUUUAUGGUAUGCGCAAGUCAUUGGGUUUGUCGAAGCCUAAAGGCGUAAUGAAAGUGAGACAUUACUUGUCUGAACGUGACUGGGUGCGGCAUUCGUGCGGCCCAAGCAACGUUGCCCCGUUUCGAGGACUUGUCCUGAUGCGGAGGUUGAGCGUAUGCUAUGAGACCCGAAAGAUGGUGAACUAUGCCUGGAAGCAGGA